UAGGGAAUCUUCCGCAAUGGGCGAAAGCCUGACGGAGCAACGCCGCGUGAGUGAUGAAGGUCUUCGGAUCGUAAAACUCUGUUAUCAGGGAAGAAUAAAUGUGUAAGUAACUGUGCACGUCUUGACGGUACCUGAUCAGAAAGCCACGGCUAACUACGUGCCAGCAGCCGCGGUAAUACGUAGGUGGCAAGCGUUCUCCGGAAUUAUUGGGCGUAAAGCGCGCGUAGGCGGUUUUUUAAUUCUGAUGUGAAAGCCAACGGCUCAACCGUGGAGGGUCAUUGGAAACUGGAGAACUUGAGUGCAGAAGAGGAAAGUGGAAUUCCAUGUGUAGCGGUGAAAUGCGCAGAGAUAUGGAGGAACACCAGUGGCGAAGGCGACUUUCUGGUCUGUAACUGACGCUGAUGUGCGAAAGCGUGGGGAUCAAACAGG
Molecule: ribosomal RNA, 429 nt
Filed under: bacterium
Lineage: Bacteria
Description: partial 16S ribosomal RNA
Rfam family: Bacterial small subunit ribosomal RNA
Source: RNAcentral